CUUCCAGAUCUUUGGGUUCCAUGCAAAAAGAAACAUCAAUGAGUGAUUUAUCGGAAGAAAGUUCUUUGGGUUAAAAUUUUCAAUAAGUUGUGUGUGUGUAAGGCAAGAGGCCACGUUCCACCAUGUUAAAGCCAAAUUACGGUCAGUAGGGAAAUUUACGCAUGCGUCAACAUCUGAGUUCUGUCAUGGAAUGGAGUGGUGCAACAGCAGACCUACAGAGAGAGAGAGAGAGGAGAGGAGAGACGAGAGGAGGGGGAACUCUCCUUCAGAUUGUAUCGGAUCGACAGGGUGUUAAGAUAGCUUGUGAGCAUGCUCAGUGUAACACGAUAUCCGAACGUUGCAGGCCUGUGAAUGAAGCAAAAGUCACACACGUUGCAUCUGAGGCUUUGUUUUUAUAGCCAACUAUAAAUACCCGCGAUGGACCAUCCUUUCUUGUACUCUCUCCUUUGUCUUUAUUGGCUACAUAAAAGAAUUAUCUAUAUACGUUAAAAAUAAAGCAUAACUAUCGGUUCGAUUAUCAAUUUUUAUUGUUUUUUUUUUUUAAAUUCAACACGAAUAAAAAAUUAUCUGGCGAUAGUUUU
RNAcentral lists this long non-coding RNA (581 nucleotides) under Androctonus crassicauda. Lineage: Eukaryota; Metazoa; Arthropoda; Arachnida; Scorpiones; Buthidae. The record is from RNAcentral.